CCCUUUGUGUACCUACCUCUGUUGCUUUGGCGGGCCGCGGUCCUCCGCGGCCGCCCCCCUCCCCGGGGGGGUGGCCAGCGCCCGCCAGAGGACCAUCAAACUCCAGUCAGUAAACGAUGCAGUCUGAAAAACAUUUAAUAAACUAAAACUUUCAACAACGGAUCUCUUGGUUCUGGCAUCGAUGAAGAACGCAGCGAAAUGCGAUAAGUAAUGUGAAUUGCAGAAUUCAGUGAAUCAUCGAAUCUUUGAACGCACAUUGCGCCCUUUGGUAUUCCGAAGGGCAUGCCUGUUCGAGCGUCAUUACAACCCUCAAGCUCUGCUUGGUAUUGGGCACCGUCCUUUGCGGGCGCGCCUCAAAGACCUCGGCGGUGGCGUCUUGCCUCAAGCGUAGUAGAACAUACAUCUCGCUUCGGAGCGCAGGGCGUCGCCCGCCGGACGAACCUUCUGAACUUUUCUCAAGGUUGACCUCGGAUCAGGUAGGGAUACCCGCUGAACUUAAGCAUAUC
Molecule: ribosomal RNA, 506 nt
Filed under: Botryosphaeria dothidea
Lineage: Eukaryota; Fungi; Ascomycota; Dothideomycetes; Botryosphaeriales; Botryosphaeriaceae
Description: eukaryotic LSU rRNA
Rfam family: 5.8S ribosomal RNA (bases 147-300)
Source: RNAcentral